Long non-coding RNA from Syngnathoides biaculeatus (alligator pipefish), 1181 nucleotides. RefSeq lists it as uncharacterized. The record is from RefSeq and is a predicted model, not a curated record. The transcript is spliced from 3 exons. NCBI's taxonomy places the organism in Eukaryota, Metazoa, Chordata, Actinopteri, Syngnathiformes, Syngnathidae.
GUGGGCAAUGUGAGAAGGGAGUUAAACCAGAGGAGGAGGAGGAUGACAUCAGCCCUGAGAAGACGUCUCCCCUGCAUCUCCCACUAACGAUCACGAGACCACAGCAGGAAAGCUCUGGAACUAUCAACGGGUGCCCGGAGACACCCCAAGGAUGGGUUGGAUGGCGUGCGAGAGGAAAGGAUUUGUACAAGGCGCUGACAGCACGGCGUCGCAAACAUCAGGCUGACUGGCGAGCGGCUGCCCACUGGCCUUCCUUUCACGUGACAAGGCUGCGUUUCACGUGGCGACGCACGAGCGUGGGUUGGGCCUGUAAGGAUGCAUUCUGCACGCUGUGGAUCAGGGAUCAAUCAACCCUCUGUAAUCCAAACAGUGGGAAGAGGACGCUAUUGUUCCCGAUUUAUUAGAAAAGACUGAGUUGGGAGGGAGAAUGUAUGAGAACAAAUAUGAAGCAACUGAUUGAUUGAGUAAAAUACUGUGUGUGUGUGUAAAUACAGUAUAUAUAGCCAUUUAUUUUCUGAGCCGCUUAUCCUCACCAGGGUUGCAGGAAUGCUGAAGCCUUUCCCAUCUAUUUUCAGGCAGGAGGCAGGCUACACCCUGAGCUGGUUGCCAUACAAUCGCAGGGCACAUAGAGACAAACAAUCAUUCACACUCACAAUCACAACUAAGGGCAAUUUAGGGUCUCCGAUUAAAUGUUGCAUGUUUUUGGGAUGUGGGAGGAAAUCGGAGUGCACAAAGAAAGCCACACAGGCAGGAGAAGAACAUGCAAACUCCACACAGGCAGUACUGGGAAUUAAACCCCAGUCCUCAGAACUGUGAGGCAGAAAUGAAUAGGUAGCAAAAUCCCAAUAAAAUCAUUACUCCUUAUACUAUUCUGCAAUACUAGUGCCAAAUGAACAAUCCUAUUUGAGUAUUUGAAAAAUGGCUGAACGAGUAAAUGCAUUUCAGCUGCCACAUCUCCUCUUUUUUUUUUAUUUUGAAAUGACAUACUUCAACCAGGAUCCCUCUGUCUACCUGAGCCAAAGGUAGAAUCCCAGGUCCUUUUUGUGUUUGGCGGUUCCGUAAAUCCUCACGGAUCAAGCUGCAACCUUUCCACCUAGCCUGCUGGUUACUUAGCCUACCUUGCCACUCUUGUCAUCUUUCACGCAGGUUUCACACUUCCUCCAGUUCACUCUGCCAAAGUC